GGCAGCAUGGAGGAAGCUUGCUUCUUCUGAUGGCGACCGGCGCACGGGUGCGUAACGCGUAUCAAACCUGCCUCAUACUCGGGGAUGGCCUUGCGAAAGUAAGAUUAAUACCCGAUGUUGUUAUGUUACCGCAUGGUGAUAUAACCAAAGAUUUAUCGGUAUGAGAUGGUGAUGCGUCCGAUUAGGUAGUAGGCGGGGUAACGGCCCACCUAGCCAUCGAUCGGUAGGGGUUCUGAGAGGAAGGUCCCCCACACUGGAACUGAGACACGGUCCAGACUCCUACGGGAGGCAGCAGUGAGGAAUAUUGGUCAAUGGACGGAAGUCUGAACCAGCCAAGUAGCGUGCAGGAUGACGGCCCUCUGGGUUGUAAACUGCUUUUAGUUGGGAAUAAAAAAGAGGACGUGUCCUCUAUUGUAUGUACCUUCAGAAAAAGGACCGGCUAAUUCCGUGCCAGCAGCCGCGGUAAUACGGAAGGUCCAGGCGUUAUCCGGAUUUAUUGGGUUUAAAGGGAGCGUAGGCGGAUUAUUAAGUCAGUGGUGAAAGACGGUGGCUCAACCAUCGUUAGCCAUUGAAACUGGUAGUCUUGAGUGCAGACAGGGAUGCUGGAACUCGUGGUGUAGCGGUGAAAUGCUUAGAUAUCACGAUGAACUCCGAUCGCGAAGGCAGGUGUCCGGGCUGCAACUGACGCUGAGGCUCGAAAGUGUGGGUAUCAAACUAGGAUUAGAUACCCUGGUAGUCCACACAGUAAACGAUGUAUACUCGCGGUUUGCGAUAUAUUGUAAGCCGCCAAGCGA
This 794-nucleotide ribosomal RNA is filed under the name uncultured Bacteroidota bacterium. RNAcentral describes it as "bacterial SSU rRNA". It matches the Rfam family "Bacterial small subunit ribosomal RNA", at positions 68 to 854 of the family's 1533-position model. The record is from RNAcentral. Lineage: Bacteria; Pseudomonadati; Bacteroidota.